AAUAUCAGGCAAAGGUGAUCCCCUACAGAAUUUUUUCUUCUUUGAUGCUAUGGAUGGGAAAGGGGUAAUAGAGAACAUAUCCUCUCCUAGCCUGUGCAAUUGAGCAUCUUGUUUGUAAAUUUGAUUGUUUUGGAACAGAUGAUGCAACAAUGAGCAUCCAUUAUUGAUAUUAGGAGAUAUUAAUCCAAUGUUUGGGAUAUCAUUGAUAGAAGUUGAAGUAUUGUAAAAGUGUAGUUCAUUGACAGAUUUUCCAGCAGGUUUUGGACAUUAGAUCGUUGCUGAUGAACCUUUAACUUACGGCUCUCAAAUGGUUGGAGCAUUUUAUUUUUGUUAAACAUUUUCAUUACUCCUCAAGUAAUGAUUGCAUGCAAAGCAACAUAUCUUGCAUUUGAGUGGUCGUCUUUUAAUAACAGAGCUGAGAAG
This 423-nucleotide unclassified non-coding RNA is filed under the name Hevea brasiliensis (rubber tree). Lineage: Eukaryota; Viridiplantae; Streptophyta; Magnoliopsida; Malpighiales; Euphorbiaceae. The record is from RNAcentral.